RNAcentral lists this ribosomal RNA (502 nucleotides) under uncultured bacterium. RNAcentral describes it as "partial 16S ribosomal RNA". It matches the Rfam family "Bacterial small subunit ribosomal RNA", at positions 30 to 523 of the family's 1533-position model. The record is from RNAcentral.
AUUGAACGCUGGCGGAAUGCUUUACACAUGCAAGUCGAACGGCAGCAUAGGUGCUUGCACCUGAUGGCGAGUGGCGAACGGGUGAGUAAUACAUCGGAACGUGCCCAGUCGUGGGGGAUAACGUAGCGAAAGUUACGCUAAUACCGCAUACGAUCUAAGGAUGAAAGCGGGGGACCGUAAGGCCUCGCGCGAUUGGAGCGGCGGAUGGCAGAUUAGGUAGUUGGUGAGGUAAAGGCGCACCAAGCCGACGAUCUGUAGCUGGUCUGAGAGGACGACCAGCCACACUGGGACUGAGACACGGCCCAGACUCCUACGGGAGGCAGCAGUGGGGAAUUUUGGACAAUGGACGCAAGUCUGAUCCAGCCAUUCCGCGUGCAGGACGAAGGCCCUCGGGUUGUAAACUGCUUUUGUACGGAACGAAAAAGCUCUUACUAAUACUAGGAGUCCAUGACGGUACCGUAAGAAUAAGCACCGGCUAACUACGUGCCAGCCGCCGCCGUAA